GAUAAGAUGGCUGAGACUUAAGCGGUGGAUUGUAGCCCCACGAACAGAGGUUCAAGCCCUCUUCUUAUCA
Molecule: transfer RNA, 70 nt
Filed under: Dicentrarchus punctatus
Lineage: Eukaryota; Metazoa; Chordata; Actinopteri; Moronidae
Description: tRNA-Tyr
Rfam family: tRNA
About the family: Transfer RNA (tRNA) molecules are approximately 80 nucleotides in length.
Source: RNAcentral